Molecule: ribosomal RNA, 465 nt
Filed under: uncultured bacterium
Lineage: Bacteria
Description: partial 16S ribosomal RNA
Rfam family: Bacterial small subunit ribosomal RNA
Source: RNAcentral
GACGAACGCUGGCGGCGUGCUUAACACAUGCAAGUCGAACGGAAAGGCCCUGCUUGCAGGGUACUCGAGUGACGAACGGGUGAGUAACACGUGGGUGAUCUGCCCUGCACUUCGGGAUAAGCCUGGGAAACUGGGUCUAAUACCGGAUAGGAGCCAUCUUUAGUGUGAUGGUUGGAAAGUUUUUUCGGUGUAGGAUGAGCUCGCGGCCUAUCAGCUUGUUGGUGGGGUAAUGGCCUACCAAGGCGGCGACGGGUAGCCGGCCUGCGAGGGUGGACGGCCACAUUGGGACUGAGAUACGGCCCAGACUCCUACGGGGGGCAGCAGUGGGGAAUAUUGCACAAUGGGCGCAAGCCUGAUGCAGCGACGCCGCGUGGGGGAUGACGGCCUUCGGGUUGUAAACUCCUUUCGCUAGGGACGAAGCUUUUUGUGACGGUACCUAGAUAAGAAGCACCGGCUAACUACGUG